Molecule: long non-coding RNA, 184 nt
Organism: Hibiscus syriacus
Lineage: Eukaryota; Viridiplantae; Streptophyta; Magnoliopsida; Malvales; Malvaceae
Exons: 3
Source: RefSeq, a predicted model, not a curated record
CCACUGGGAAAAAGAAGACAUAUGUCACGUUAUAGCGAAAGUUUACGACGAUAACAAAUGCCACCAUCGCAAAUUCUACAAUACCUUUGAAAACGAUGACGAUUUAACUCCACCUCCACCUCCAGUGCCUCCCAACACGAUAAAGAAAAAACGACGAUGCAGAAAAAGGAAAACGACGCCGAAA